GAUGAACGCUGGCGGCGUGCCUAAUACAUGCAAGUCGAGCGAACAGAUGAGGAGCUUGCUCCUCUGACGUUAGCGGCGGACGGGUGAGUAACACGUGGAUAACCUACCUAUAAGACUGGGAUAACUUCGGGAAACCGGAGCUAAUACCGGAUAAUAUAUUGAACCGCAUGGUUCAAUAGUGAAAGACGGUUUUGCUGUCACUUAUAGAUGGAUCCGCGCCGCAUUAGCUAGUUGGUAAGGUAACGGCUUACCAAGGCAACGAUGCGUAGCCGACCUGAGAGGGGGAUCGGCAAACCGGGAACUGAGACACGGUCCAGACUCCUACGGGAGGCAGCAGUAGGGAAUCUUCCGCAAAGGGCGAAAGCUUGACGGAGCAACGCCGCGUGAGGGAUGAAGGUCUUCGGAUCGUAAAACUCUGUUAUUAGGGAAGAACAAAUGUGUAAGUAACUAUGCACGUCUUGACGGUACCUAAUCAGAAAGCCACGGCUAACUACGUG
RNAcentral lists this ribosomal RNA (497 nucleotides) under uncultured bacterium. RNAcentral describes it as "partial 16S ribosomal RNA". It matches the Rfam family "Bacterial small subunit ribosomal RNA", at positions 28 to 507 of the family's 1533-position model. The record is from RNAcentral.